This 1043-nucleotide ribosomal RNA is filed under the name Rimora mangrovei. Its description in RNAcentral is "SSU rRNA". It matches the Rfam family "Eukaryotic small subunit ribosomal RNA", at positions 88 to 1151 of the family's 1831-position model. The record is from RNAcentral. Lineage: Eukaryota; Fungi; Ascomycota; Dothideomycetes; Pleosporales; Aigialaceae.
UGCGAAUGGCUCAUUAAAUCAGUUAUCGUUCAUUUGAUAGUACCUUACUACUUGGAUAACCGUGGUAAUUCUAGAGCUAAUACAUGCUAAAAACCCCGACUUCGGGAGGGGUGUAUUUAUUAGAUAAAAAACCAAUGCCCUUCGGGGCUCUUUGGUGAUUCAUGAUAACUUAACGGAUCGCAUGGCCUUGCGCCGGCGACGGUUCAUUCAAAUUUCUGCCCUAUCAACUUUCGAUGGUAAGGUAUUGGCUUACCAUGGUUUCAACGGGUAACGGGGGAUUAGGGUUCGACUCCGGAGAGGGAGCCUGAGAAACGGCUACCACAUCCAAGGAAGGCAGCAGGCGCGCAAAUUACCCAAUCCCGACACGGGGAGGUAGUGACAAUAAAUACUGAUACAGGGCUCUUUUGGGUCUUGUAAUUGGAAUGAGUACAAUUUAAAUCCCUUAACGAGGAACAAUUGGAGGGCAAGUCUGGUGCCAGCAGCCGCGGUAAUUCCAGCUCCAAUAGCGUAUAUUAAAGUUGUUGCAGUUAAAAAGCUCGUAGUUGAACCUUGGGCCUGGCUGGCCGGUCCGCCUCACCGCGUGCACUGGUUCGGCCGGGCCUUUCCUUCUGGAGAGCCCCAUGCCCUUCACUGGGUGUGCGGGGGAACCAGGACUUUUACUUUGAAAAAAUUAGAGUGUUCAAAGCAGGCCUUUGCUCGAAUACAUUAGCAUGGAAUAAUAGAAUAGGACGUGCGGUCCUAUUUUGUUGGUUUCUAGGACCGCCGUAAUGAUUAAUAGGGAUAGUCGGGGGCAUCCGUAUUCAAUUGUCAGAGGUGAAAUUCUUGGAUUUAUUGAAGACGAACUACUGCGAAAGCAUUUGCCAAGGAUGUUUUCAUUAAUCAGUGAACGAAAGUUAGGGGAUCGAAGACGAUCAGAUACCGUCGUAGUCUUAACCGUAAACUAUGCCGACUAGGGAUCGGGCGAUGUUAUUAUUUUGACUCGCUCGGCACCUUACGAGAAAUCAAAGUUUUUGGKUCUGGGGGGAGUAUGGUCGCAAGGCUGA